CCAAACUUAAUUCAAAACUUACUGAAGUAUGCAUGCAUUAGUGUUACUAUGUAGGAAGACAUAGAAUGUCAUUCUAUGGUAAGAAUGAGGAGAACUUACAAUCUGUUCUGGAGGCAUAAUAUUAUGAAAAUUGGUUUCCUUGUCUAGAAAUCUUGAAUUGGUGGAUUUCAUGACUUCUAUCUGUGUUGAGAAUUGAGCAGAGACAGGCCGAUGAUCAGAAAACUUACUUUCACUGCGAAAGUAAGAUAAAAGUUUCACUCCUUUUCCAUACCACAGAAUUCUAUCACACCUGCGACCAGACACAUACAUCGAUCAUGCUAGUAGUUGAUUGCAAAACAUAUACCAUGCUGGAGUCCUUUGUUUCUCUCCUGAUCUGUUGGGAAGGCCACCCGAGUAACGAUUGCAAUUUGAUGAAGAAUACUUGUAUGUUGGUGCAAAUUUGAUGUUCCCUUCUCUCCAACCUUCAAACACUCCUCCAUCUUCUUGUUCCUUUCGAAGCUGAUCGAAACCCUGCAGUGCUUUCCAGUCUUGCUUCUUUAUCAGAUCCCUAGCUAAAUUGUCUUCCAAGUCUAGCCUAUAGUUGAGAUCUCCGAACCAGAAUAUCUGACUGUCUCCACAAGAAUUAUGAUAAUUGAAUUAGGAGUUUUCAUUUAACUAAUCUGCAUAAAGUUUACAUAAUCACCUUUAUGUAACUGUUUUGCAUUUUGAGCCAAAGUGUACCUUAAAAACCUUGUUGAAACUAGACAAAGAAAUUGUAUGAAACAAACCAUUGAAGUCUUGAAA
Molecule: long non-coding RNA, 783 nt
Organism: Gossypium arboreum
Lineage: Eukaryota; Viridiplantae; Streptophyta; Magnoliopsida; Malvales; Malvaceae
Exons: 2
Source: RefSeq, a predicted model, not a curated record